GUUUGCAGCCAGGCCUCGUUUGCAAUACAGCCGGCUCCCCCCGUGGCGCCCUGCCGCGGGCCCCACAGCACCGCUUGCACCGCCGGGUCGGGGCGCGGGGAGUGGAGGGCACCCCUGCAGGCGGAGGGCAUCCCCCCUCGAUCACAGCCACCCUCCGCCCCAGAAACCGCAGCCAGCCCCUCCCCUAGGAGCAGCCCGUCCCCGGGCCCGCCGGCCGGGCGCUCGCUUCGGCUGGAGGAACGGGGCGAGGAUGGGAGCCCGGAGCCCCCCGCUGCCCCCGGCGCCCUCCCUCCAGCCCCCCCGACGCGCGCUUCCGCGCCCCCAGCCGCCCCCCGGGAGCCGCGCGGGGGCCCCACGCCCCACGCCCCCCGACCCCGCGCGCCCGGCGCCGCUCACCUGCCGGCCCCGCUCCGCGCCGCCCCGGACCCCGCCCCGCCGCCCCGCGGGCUCCGGCCGGCCGGCCGGCCGCCCCGCGCCCCCCGCCGCCCGCGCCCCGGCGAGCCUCGCCGCCCGCAGCCCGCCCGGCCCGCGCCCCCUCCCUGCCGGCCAGCGCAGCCGCCCUCUACCCCGGAUCCAGAAGUCCCCUCCCCGCCGGCUCCCGGACUCCCCGCCUUAAAGGCACAAGCGCCCAUUGUCUGGCGCCCCCUCCCCCUCCCCUCCCCCUCCGCCCGCCGCGCCCCGCGCGGGGCCCACUGCCCCCGGAGCGCGCAGGGGUGCGGGAGCCCGGGCGCCCCCUCCGCGCGCCCCCUCCCCCGUCCUGGGCAAACAAGCGGCUUCUGUUCUGGGAGCCGGACCCCGGGGACCGCCCGUCCCGCGCGCCCCUUCCCUCCACCCCCUGCCGCCUCCCGCCGCCCUGCGCCCGCCCCCGGCCGGGGGUCCCCGCGCGCCCGCGCCCGCGCCCGCACUCGGGGCCCGCGCCUCGCCCCCGCCCGGAGCAGCGGGGGGCGGCUUCCCUCCGGCCGGGGUCCCCCGGGGCGAGCCGGCGCCCCGCGCCCCCCUCCUCCCCCCCUCCCGCCUCCCCCUGCCCCCCGCCCCCCCCCCCGCCGUUCCCGCCCCGCCGCCGCGGCCCCGCGCCCUCCCGCGGGAACUCAGUUUAAUAAUUAA
RNAcentral lists this long non-coding RNA (1104 nucleotides) under Canis lupus familiaris (dog). RNAcentral describes it as "lncRNA (ENSCAFG00040025038.1)". The record is from RNAcentral. Lineage: Eukaryota; Metazoa; Chordata; Mammalia; Carnivora; Canidae.